GCCUGGCUUGUGCAUCAGAACUACCGGCAGAUCAUUUGUAAGAAAAGGCUCUGCUUUUCCCUCGUCUCAGGGAUUCACACUCCGGAGCACCUUGGGGAACUUGGAGCCACUGACGAAAGUAAUGCCUGAGAGAGUGGCAUCAGCAGCCGCAGCGAAGAAAGCAAAAGAGGGAGGACCUUUCUCUUCUAAGAAAUAA
RNAcentral lists this long non-coding RNA (196 nucleotides) under Bos mutus (wild yak). Its description in RNAcentral is "lncRNA (ENSBMUG00000014098.1)". The record is from RNAcentral. Lineage: Eukaryota; Metazoa; Chordata; Mammalia; Artiodactyla; Bovidae.